CAGGAAACUUCAGAAUGGCAGUGAGGGUUGCAGGCAAGCUGGAGCCAACAGAAAGGCCCUCACCAGCCACAGGGCUUGAACCUGGACCUUCUUGCUGUGAGGCGACAGCGCUAACCACUACACCACCGUGCCACCCCAUAGAGAGAGAGAGAGAGAGCAUCUAUCCCUCUGAGUUACAUGUCGGUCCUGGGAUCGAGAUGCUGACCUCUUCUGCUGCUCGGACCUGCCUGAUCCAUCCUGGUGCCCUGUGUCUGGUUGGAGUCUCAUCGCAUCGCUCCUGUGGAGGACGGCCCCAUAUGGACACUUGAAAGUCGCACUUGGAAGACGCUCUGGACACUUACAGUAAUGCUUUU
Molecule: long non-coding RNA, 353 nt
Organism: Neoarius graeffei (lesser salmon catfish)
Lineage: Eukaryota; Metazoa; Chordata; Actinopteri; Siluriformes; Ariidae
Exons: 3
Source: RefSeq, a predicted model, not a curated record